ACGAAGGAGGCUAGCGUUGCUCGGAAUCACUGGGCGUAAAGCGCACGUAGGCGGAUCUUUAAGUCAGGGGUGAAAUCCCAAGGCUCAACCUUGGAACUGCCUUUGAUACUGGGGAUCUCGAGUCCGGAAGAGGUGAGUGGAACUCCGAGUGUAGAGGUGAAAUUCGUAGAUACUCGGAAGAACACCAGUGGCGAAGGCGGCUCACUGGUCCGGUACUGACGCUGAGGUGCGAAAGCGUGGGGAGCAAACAGGA
This 253-nucleotide ribosomal RNA is filed under the name uncultured prokaryote. Its description in RNAcentral is "partial 16S ribosomal RNA". It matches the Rfam family "Bacterial small subunit ribosomal RNA", at positions 525 to 777 of the family's 1533-position model. The record is from RNAcentral.